Molecule: ribosomal RNA, 480 nt
Filed under: uncultured bacterium
Lineage: Bacteria
Description: bacterial SSU rRNA
Rfam family: Bacterial small subunit ribosomal RNA
Source: RNAcentral
UUGAACGCUGGCGGAAUGCUUUACACAUGCAAGUCGAGCGGCAGCGCGGGGCAACCUGGCGGCGAGCGGCGAACGGGUGAGUAACAUAUCGGAACGUACCCUAUCGUGGGGGAUAACACAUCGAAAGAUGUGCUCAUACCGCAUCCGACCUGAGGGUGAAAGCGGGGGAUCGCAAGACCUCGCGCGACAGGAGCGGCCGAUAUCGGCUUAGCUAGUUGGUUAGGUAAAGGCUCACCAAGGCGACGAUCCGUAGCUGGUCUGAGAGGACGACCAGCCACACUGGAACUGAGACACGGUCCAGACUCCUACGGGAGGCAGCAGUGGGGAAUUUUGGACAAUGGGGGCAACCCUGAUCCAGCCAUGCCGCGUGAGUGAAGAAGGCCUUCGGGUUGUAAAACUCUUUCGGCAGGAACGAAACGGUGACUACUAAUACUAGUCACUAAUGACGGUACCUGAAGAAGAAGCACCGGCUAACUACGU